CAGUGAGGAAGGUGGAUAUGUUAAUAGCAUAUUCAUUUUGACGUUAGCUGCAGAAGAAGCACCGGCUAACUCCGUGCCAGCAGCCGCGGUAAUACGGAGGGUGCGAGCGUUAAUCGGAAUUACUGGGCGUAAAGCGCAUGCAGGUGGUUUGUUAAGUCAGAUGUGAAAGCCCGGGGCUCAACCUCGGAAUUGCAUUUGAAACUGGCAAACUAGAGUACUGUAGAGGGGGUAGAAUUUCAGGUGUAGCGGUGAAAUGCGUAGAGAUCUGAAGGAAUACCGGUGGCGAAGGCGGCCCCCUGGACAGAUACUGACACUCAGAUGCGAAAGCGUGGGGAGCAAACAGGAUUAGAUACCCUGGUAG
Molecule: ribosomal RNA, 361 nt
Filed under: uncultured bacterium
Lineage: Bacteria
Description: bacterial SSU rRNA
Rfam family: Bacterial small subunit ribosomal RNA
Source: RNAcentral